AUUGAACGCUGGCGGCAGGCCUAACACAUGCAAGUCGAGCGGAUGAAGGGAGCUUGCUCCUGGUUUCAGCUGCGGACGGGUGAGUAAUGCCUAGGUAUCUGCCUGGUCGUGGGGGAUAACGUCCGGAAACGGGCCCUAAUACCGCAUACGUCCUGAGGUAGAAAGUGGGGGUUCUUCGGACCUCACGCUUUCUGCUGUGCCUAGUCCGGAUUAGCUAGUUGGUUGGGUAAAGGCCUACCAAGGCGACGAUCCGUAACUGGUCUGAGAGGCUGAUCAGUCACACUGGAACUGAGACACGGUCCAGACUCCUACGGGAGGCAGCAGUGGGGAAUAUUGGACAAUGGGCGAAAGCCUGAUCCAGCCAUGCCGCGUGAGUGAAGAAGGUCUUCGGAUUGUAAAGCACUUUAAGUAGGGAGGAAGGAAAGUAAGAUAAAACCUUGCUGUUUUGACGUUACCAACAGAAAAAGCACCGGCUAACUACGUG
RNAcentral lists this ribosomal RNA (484 nucleotides) under uncultured bacterium. RNAcentral's name for it is "partial 16S ribosomal RNA". It matches the Rfam family "Bacterial small subunit ribosomal RNA", at positions 30 to 507 of the family's 1533-position model. The record is from RNAcentral.